CGGACGGGUGAGUAAUGUAUGGGGAUCUGCCUGAUGGGGGGGGAUAACUACUGGAAACGGUAGCUAAUACCGCAUAAUGUCUGCGGACCAAAGCGGGGGACCUCCGGGCCUCGCGCCAUCAGAUGAACCCAUAUGGGAUUAGCUUGUAGGUAAGGUAACGGCUUACCUAGGCGACGACCCCUAGCUGGUCUGAGAGGAUGAUCAGCCACACUGGGACUGAGACACGGCCCAG
Molecule: ribosomal RNA, 232 nt
Filed under: uncultured bacterium
Lineage: Bacteria
Description: partial 16S ribosomal RNA
Rfam family: Bacterial small subunit ribosomal RNA
Source: RNAcentral